RNAcentral lists this ribosomal RNA (636 nucleotides) under Aspergillus cejpii. RNAcentral's name for it is "eukaryotic LSU rRNA". It matches the Rfam family "Eukaryotic large subunit ribosomal RNA", at positions 1 to 649 of the family's 3401-position model. Lineage: Eukaryota; Fungi; Ascomycota; Eurotiomycetes; Eurotiales; Aspergillaceae. The record is from RNAcentral.
GGUUGACCUCGGAUCAGGUAGGGAUACCCGCUGAACUUAAGCAUAUCAAUAAGCGGAGGAAAAGAAACCAACAGGGAUUGCCCCAGUAACGGCGAGUGAAGCGGCAAGAGCUCAAAUUUGAAAGCUGGCCCCCCCGGGGUCCGCGUUGUAAUUUGCAGAGGAUGCUUCGGAUGCGGCCCCCGUCUAAGUGCCCUGGAAGGGGCCGUCAUAGAGGGUGAGAAUCCCGUCUGGGACGGGGUGUCCGCGUCCGUGUGAAGCUCCUUCGACGAGUCGAGUUGUUUGGGAAUGCAGCUCUAAAUGGGUGGUAAAUUUCAUCUAAAGCUAAAUACUGGCCGGAGACCGAUAGCGCACAAGUAGAGUGAUCGAAAGAUGAAAAGCACUUUGAAAAGAGAGUUAAACAGCACGUGAAAUUGUUGAAAGGGAAGCGUUUGCGACCAGACUCGCCCGCGGGGUUCAGCCGGCACUCGUGCCGGUGUACUUCCCCGCGGGCGGGCCAGCGUCGGUUUGGGCGGCCGGUCAAAGGCCCUCGGAAUGUGUCACCCCCCGGGGUGUCUUAUAGCCGAGGGUGCAAUGCGGCCUGCCCGGACCGAGGAACGCGCUCCGGCUCGGACGCUGGCGUAAUGGUCGCAAAUGACC